UUUUGUUGGUUAGCGGCGGACGGGUGAGUAACACGUGGGUAACCUGCCUGUAAGACCGGGAUAACUCCGGGAAACCGGUGCUAAUACCGGAUAGAUUAUCUUUCCGCCUGGAGAGAUAAGGAAAGAUGGCUUUUGCCAUCGCUUACAGAUGGGCCCGCGGCGCAUUAGCUAGUUGGUGAGGUAACGGCUCACCAAGGCGACGAUGCGUAGCCGACCUGAGAGGGUGAUCGGCCACACUGGGACUGAGACACGGCCCAGACUCCUACGGGAGGCAGCAGUAGGGAAUCUUCCGCAAUGGACGAAAGUCUGACGGAGCAACGCCGCGUGAGCGAAGAAGGUCUUCGGAUCGUAAAGCUCUGUUGUUAGGGAAGAACAAGUAUCGGAGGAAAUGCCGGUACCUUGACGGUACCUGACGAGAAAGCCACGGCUAACUACGUGCCAGCAGCCGCGGUAAUACGUAGGUGGCAAGCGUUGUCCGGAUUUAUUGGGCGUAAAGCGCGCGCAGGCGGGUCCUUUAAGUCUGAUGUGAAAUCUUGCGGCUCA
Molecule: ribosomal RNA, 543 nt
Filed under: uncultured bacterium
Lineage: Bacteria
Description: bacterial SSU rRNA
Rfam family: Bacterial small subunit ribosomal RNA
Source: RNAcentral